GAUAAUUCUUUGUUGUGGGGGGUCUGUCCUGUGUACUGUAGGAAGUUAAGCAGCAUCCCUGGCCUCUACCCACUAGAUGUUAGAGGUAAAUUC
Ceratotherium simum simum (southern white rhinoceros) is the source of this 93-nucleotide non-coding RNA. The record is from RefSeq and is a predicted model, not a curated record. Lineage: Eukaryota; Metazoa; Chordata; Mammalia; Perissodactyla; Rhinocerotidae.